AAUUGGACAUGGGCGCAGNCCGAUCCAUUCAUGCCGCGUGAGUGAAGAAGGCCUUCGGGUUGUAAAGCUCUUUCGGCAGGAACGAAAUGGUUCGUGCUAAUACCGCGGACUGAUGACGGUACCUGAAGAAGAAGCACCGGCUAACUACGUGCCAGCAGCCGCGGUAAUACGUAGGGUGCAGGCGUUAAUCGGAAUUACUGGGCGUAAAGCGUGCGCAGGCGGUUUCUUAAGUCAGAUGUGAAAGCCCCGGGCUUAACCUGGGAACUGCGUUUGAAACUGGGAGACUUGAGUGUGGCAGAGGGGGGUGGAAUUCCACGUGUAGCAGUGAAAUGCGUAGAUAUGUGGAGGAACACCGAUGGCGAAGGCAGCCCCCUGGGCUAACACUGACGCUCAUGCACGAAAGCGUGGGGAGCAAACAGGAUUAGAUACCCUGGUAGUCCACGCCCUAAACUAUGUCAACUGGUUGUCGGGGGAUUAACUCCCUUGGUAACGAAGCUAACGCGUGAAGUUGACCGCCUGGGGAGUACGGCCGCAAGGUUAAAACUCAAAGGAAUUGACGGGGACCCGCACAAGCGGUGGAUUAUGUGGAUUAAUUCGAUGCAACGCGAAAAACCUUUACUACCCUUUGACUGUCCGGAAUCCUUCGAGAUGGAGGGUGCCGAAAGGAGCGUAC
This 673-nucleotide ribosomal RNA is filed under the name uncultured bacterium. RNAcentral describes it as "bacterial SSU rRNA". It matches the Rfam family "Bacterial small subunit ribosomal RNA", at positions 359 to 1031 of the family's 1533-position model. The record is from RNAcentral.